UGGGGAAUAUUGCACAAUGGGCGCAAGCCUGAUGCAGCCAUGCCGCGUGUAUGAAGAAGGCCCUCGGGUUGUAAAGUACUUUCAGUCGGGAGGAAGGUGGUAAGGUUAAUAACCUUAUCAAUUGACGUUACCGACAGAAGAAGCACCGGCUAACUCCGUGCCAGCAGCCGCGGUAAUACGGAGGGUGCAAGCGUUAAUCGGAAUUACUGGGCGUAAAGCGCACGCAGGCGGUUGAUUGAGUCAGAUGUGAAAUCCCCGGGCUUAACCCGGGAAUUGCAUCUGAUACUGGUCAGCUAGAGUCUUGUAGAAGGGGGUAGAAUUCCAUGUGUAGCGGUGAAAUGCGUAGAGAUGUGGGGGAAUACCGGUGGCGAAGGCGGCCCCCUGGACAAAGACUGACGAUCAGGUGCGAAAGCGUGGGGAGCAAACAGG
This 429-nucleotide ribosomal RNA is filed under the name Chloroflexota bacterium. Its description in RNAcentral is "Chloroflexi bacterium partial 16S ribosomal RNA". It matches the Rfam family "Bacterial small subunit ribosomal RNA", at positions 355 to 776 of the family's 1533-position model. Lineage: Bacteria; Bacillati; Chloroflexota. The record is from RNAcentral.